GGCCCGUUGGUCAAGCGGUCUAAGACAUCGGCCUUUCAAGCCGGUAACAGGGGUUCGACUCCCCUACGGGUCACCA
RNAcentral lists this transfer RNA (76 nucleotides) under Clostridia bacterium. RNAcentral's name for it is "tRNA-Glu". It matches the Rfam family "tRNA". Rfam says of the family: Transfer RNA (tRNA) molecules are approximately 80 nucleotides in length. Their secondary structure includes four short double-helical elements and three loops (D, anti-codon, and T loops). Further hydrogen bonds mediate the characteristic L-shaped molecular structure. tRNAs have two regions of fundamental functional importance: the anti-codon, which is responsible for specific mRNA codon recognition, and the 3' end, to which the tRNAs corresponding amino acid is attached (by aminoacyl-tRNA synthetases). tRNAs cope with the degeneracy of the genetic code in two manners: having more than one tRNA (with a specific anti-codon) for a particular amino acid; and 'wobble' base-pairing, i.e. permitting non-standard base-pairing at the 3rd anti-codon position. The record is from RNAcentral. Lineage: Bacteria; Bacillati; Bacillota; Clostridia.